CAAAUUGUGACCUACGUACAUUCUCAAGCUUGUAAGUGAUAGGGAUUUUGUAAAUAUAUGAACAUCGGUAUCUACUACUGAGGUAACAAAAGUUUCAAGUCUCAAAGUGAAGUGCCUUUUUCUAGGUUACAACUUUCCAUUUAGCUUGUUUGAGAAUUCUAUGGAGAUAUCUAUCUAUUGAAGUUCUAAGAAGUUAUUG
Pistacia vera is the source of this 199-nucleotide long non-coding RNA. RefSeq lists it as uncharacterized. NCBI's taxonomy places the organism in Eukaryota, Viridiplantae, Streptophyta, Magnoliopsida, Sapindales, Anacardiaceae. The transcript is spliced from 3 exons. The record is from RefSeq and is a predicted model, not a curated record.